Long non-coding RNA from Megalobrama amblycephala (Wuchang bream), 2443 nucleotides. RefSeq lists it as uncharacterized. The transcript is spliced from 3 exons. NCBI's taxonomy places the organism in Eukaryota, Metazoa, Chordata, Actinopteri, Cypriniformes, Xenocyprididae. The record is from RefSeq and is a predicted model, not a curated record.
AGCAAUUCUUUGCACGCUUUCUCCGUUGUCAAAAUGCUCAGUCCAGAGCUCUAAUUAAAUGCAAUAAUUGUCUUUUGCACGAAUCAAUGUCCUGCCGAUUAAACAAAGCUGUGAUUUUUCCCGACGCCUCUGUAUUAGGGCAAUGUGACGUCAUGGACUGUAUGUGACUGUACGCAGCGCGUGCUGCGGAGCGCGUGCUCUGAGCACAUGGAAAAGGGCUCGAGACAAAGUGCCCAAAGAAUAACUCAGCACCUGAAAUGGAAUAUCAGUAACAACUUAAUCAAUUCUGGAGCAAAAAGGACCUUCAGAACAGCUGCUAGUCAGCCUGUCGUUCUCUUGUUGGAAGCCUGAAACCGGAGCCACGAGUGAAUGCCAAACUUUUCAGGAAAAGACCUACGCAUUCUACCCCCCGUGAGCUGACAGCUCCUUGCCAUCAAAGUCAACGAUGCCGCUUUGCUGUGAAGAGAUGAAGAUCUGCUGUUGCCUGCGGACAGCUGGGUUUUACACAAUAGGCGUAAAGAUGUGGAAAAGGGUUAAAUGCUUUCAGAUGAUCUUUGCCGGUGUCACUUUUUGGGAAGUUGGACCAUCAUUUCUGUAACUCUGUGCAAGGUCCAUUUGACUCAGGGGUGAAUGAGCAGAGAGCCGAUGAAUGAGACCUUCCUCAUCAUUGACGGUGCUCUAUUACGUUUGCCUAUCUGUGAUUGGAUGGGACUGACUGGCGCGCAUUCCUGUCCUAUCACAUUUCACCGGGAGUCAUUUGAUGAAAGAUGAGUGGAUGAACAGCCUGCUGCGAAUGGCUGACUCUUCUGUUUCACUGAACGGCCGCCUCACAUGCAUGCAUGCACACAUACGUCACCUAGUCCUUUGAUUGUCUUUCACAAAACCCCCUGCUAUAAGGCUUCAUGGGAUGGGGAAUGUUAAAAAAAAUUGUAAAAAAAAAAAAAAAAAAAAAAAAUCUCAACUCCCUUAUACAGCCUGUUCCAGAAAUAGUAGGGUUUAUACAGCCAGCUCCGUUGCUGACCUAACAGAACUGGUCUUUGCCUGCGGACACACAGAGAGCAGAAAAGAUCAUUACACUGCAGUUCUGCUCUAGAACUGUAGUCCUAAGUCAACAUAUCUUCAUGGAAACCAUUUCCAGGUAUGCAAAUGGGUCCCAGAGGCUUGAGUUCAGGUUUGCUGGAAUAUAUGAAAAUUCGCUAUGGUGAUCUUGAGAAUAUUUCAAAAGUUGAUAUACAGAAAUGACAUGUUCCUAACAAAACACACUUGCCUUGAUAAAAUAUGCAUGCCAUUAAGAUAAAAAGUCUAGCCUACAGUCUAAAAUGCCUUUGGAGAAUCACAAGAUCUUUUAUUUUGUGGUUAAGUUGACUUGGAAUGUAGACCAAGUCGAGACCAAGACCAAUGCGUUUUGAGACCAAGACUUUUGGGGGUUUAUGUCAGUCAAGUCAAGUCACCUUUAUUUAUAUAGCGCUUUUUACAAUGCAGAUUGUGUCAAAGCAGCUUUACGGUGGUAACUGGCACAUCAUUUUGGCUGCACAGCAGCUCUAGAAGAAAAUUGUCCAGCUUAAGUAAAUUCAGUAUAUCAUUCCUUUUUGAUUUCAUUCAGCUUAUAAUAUGUUGCAUGUUCUUGUUAGCGUUGCUUUUAUUUCAGCCCAUAGGUCCAAAUGAUAUCUCUUUAAUAUUUUAGUUCUUUCAUCAAUGGACAGCAAAUGUAGGUGCUUGGUAAGUGUCCUGCUGCUUUCCUGAGGAAACCCCCCAACAUUUUCAGAUGUAAUUCUGCUGCAGUGAAGUGAGAGAGUGUCUAUCUUUCCUGUGAGUCAUACAUAUUUGAAUGGCACCGACAACUUCUGUAGGUUUAUUGUCAAUCAGCAGUCCUCAUAUAUCAGGGCAGAGGCAAGAGAUAUUGAAUGCGUCCGUGUGUGCGUGUGAACAUGUCAGGCUGGUCCUUUUUUAUACAGCCUCUCCCCUUCAUUCACAUUCCUGACAAAACCUCAUCACCAUCCCAGGAAUACUGCACAGCAAGCAUGUCUUUGCAACACUAUCUCUCCAAUGCUUUCACACCCUUCAGCCCCUCACAUGCUCAUAUUGUUGACAUAUAUCACUUGUGAAUAUGCAAUGUGGCUUUUACACAUGUCAGGGGAUAACAAAUACAUUUAAAGAGUGGUAAAGUACAGUUUGUAAACUCCUGUGUAUAAAUGAAUGUGCUAUAUUUGUAAGGAAAUUCAGAUGUGAAGUGCAAUAUAUCAUCAGGACACCAUGCAGAGUGACCUGUCCAAGUAAAAUACACACUUUGUAGACUUAUGGGGCCAAAUUUCCAUAUAUUUCAUAUUUUGGCAGAUUUUUGCACUAAGGAUAGGUUAAACCUUUAUCAGGUGCAUACAUGAAAGAGAUGAAAAGCCUUAUUGUAUUCUGUUGGUUGUAAAGUAAUAAAACAAUAUGAACACCA